UGGGGAAUUUUGGACAAUGGGCGAAAGCCUGAUCCAGCCAUACCGCGUGAGUGAAGAAGGCCUUCGGGUUGUAAAGCUCUUUCGGACAGAAAGAAAUCCUAUCCGCUAAUACCGGGUGGGGAUGACGGUACUGUAAGAAGAAGCACCGGCUAACUACGUGCCAGCAGCCGCGGUAAUACGUAGGGUGCGAGCGUUAAUCGGAAUUACUGGGCGUAAAGCGUGCGCAGGCGGCAUGAUAAGCCAGAUGUGAAAUCCCCGGGCUCAACCUGGGAACUGCAUUUGGAACUGUCAAGCUAGAGUGUAGCAGAGGGGGGUAGAAUUCCACGUGUAGCAGUGAAAUGCGUAGAGAUGUGGAGGAAUACCGAUGGCGAAGGCAGCCCCCUGGGCUAACACUGACGCU
RNAcentral lists this ribosomal RNA (400 nucleotides) under uncultured bacterium. RNAcentral's name for it is "bacterial SSU rRNA". It matches the Rfam family "Bacterial small subunit ribosomal RNA", at positions 355 to 747 of the family's 1533-position model. The record is from RNAcentral.